Molecule: long non-coding RNA, 512 nt
Organism: Xiphophorus maculatus (southern platyfish)
Lineage: Eukaryota; Metazoa; Chordata; Actinopteri; Cyprinodontiformes; Poeciliidae
Exons: 3
Source: RefSeq, a predicted model, not a curated record
AAAAUCAUACAGCAAACUCUGUGGGACUUGACUACACUCAGCGGUACAGCGGUUUCAAAAAAAUGACUAGAGACGUGAUGGACUCCCUCUUCACUCUUGAAGAAAUGUCAACAUGUUCAGUGACUGGAAAGAAAGGAAUUCUUGGAAAUAGAAAGAGAAGCUUUGACCAGGAUAAAGUAAACCUUGUCAUUGACCAAAUCAAGAAAGUGUUCAAGGAUGUUGAUGUCUCUGACAUCAAAGUUUGCAUGGCACAAAAAUUGAAGGACACCAGGAGACGCUCUGAGAGGCAGCCAGGGCAAAACGAUGUACUGUAAACCAAUAGUCAAGUCGUCCUGUGGCUGGCUGAUCAUGGUGCUGCAAUUUGUUUUUGAAAUUGUUUGCUUUUCUUUAUUCUUUGAUCUUCCACAGAAUGUUGCUCAUUUAGAUAAGCAACAUUCUGAUUGUGAAUAGCUUUAAAGAGGAAUAAAUACAUUUCUAAUUUUUUUUUUGGUCAAAUAUAUUUGUCUCACAUG